AGUGAACGCUGGCGGUAGGCCUAACACAUGCAAGUCGAACGGCAGCACAGUAAGAGCUUGCUCUUACGGGUGGCGAGUGGCGGACGGGUGAGGAAUACAUCGGAAUCUACUUUUUCGUGGGGGAUAACGUAGGGAAACUUACGCUAAUACCGCAUACGACCUACGGGUGAAAGCAGGGGAUCUUCGGACCUUUCGCGAUUGAAUGAGCCGAUGUCGGAUUAGCUAGUUGGCGGGGUAAAGGCCCACCAAGGCGACGAUCCGUAGCUGGUCUGAGAGGAUGGUCGGCCACACUGGAACGGAGACACGGUCCAGGCGCCUACGGUAGGCAGCAGUGGGGAAUAUUGGACAAUGGGCGCAAGCCUGAUCCAGCCAUACCGCGUGGGUGAAGAAGGCGUUCGGGUUGUAAAGCCCUUUUGUUGGGAAAGAAAAGCAGCAGGUUAAUACCCCGCUGUUCUGACGGUACCCAAAGAAUAAGCACCGGCUAACUUCGUG
Molecule: ribosomal RNA, 492 nt
Filed under: uncultured bacterium
Lineage: Bacteria
Description: partial 16S ribosomal RNA
Rfam family: Bacterial small subunit ribosomal RNA
Source: RNAcentral